RNAcentral lists this ribosomal RNA (253 nucleotides) under uncultured bacterium. RNAcentral's name for it is "partial 16S ribosomal RNA". It matches the Rfam family "Bacterial small subunit ribosomal RNA", at positions 524 to 776 of the family's 1533-position model. The record is from RNAcentral.
UACGUAGGGUGCAAGCGUUAAUCGGAAUUACUGGGCGUAAAGCGUGCGCAGGCGGUUUUGUAAGUCUGUUGUGAAAUCCCCGGGCUUAACCUGGGAAUGGCAAUGGAGACUGCAAGGCUAGAGUUUGGCAGAGGGGGGUAGAAUUCCACGUGUAGCAGUGAAAUGCGUAGAGAUGUGGAGGAACACCGAUGGCGAAGGCAGCCCCCUGGGACCUGACUGACGCUCAUGUACGAAAGCGUGGGGAGCAAACAGG